GUGGACUCGCUCAGACCUUGAGUCUCGCUCAGGCUCCCUACGCAGGUCUCGUGGACCCGCUCAGACCUUGAGUCUCGUUCAGGCUCCCUAUGCAGGUCUCGUGGACUCGCUCAGACCUGCAUUCUCUAAUCCUGCAGAUUUCUCACGUGCCUCUCGGCUUUGUUCUCUCUGAUAUCUUUCCAUCUGUGUAAAAGGCAUCAGGCCCAGGAGGGGCGGGGCUUACAGGAGGCUCCUCCUCCUCCACCUGGUCCUCAGUGUGUUGAUUGGUUGAUCACCUCUAACCCCCCAACUCACGAUAAUAUGAAGAGGUUUUUGUGAGAUAACUAUUUUAACACUAUUACUACUUUUUGAUCUCAUGUGUGUGUCCGUGUGUGUGUGUAACUGUGUGUGUGUCCGUGUGUGUGUGUGUGUUUGUGUAUCUGUGUGUGUGUCUGUGUGUGUGUCUGUGUGUGUGUGUGUGUGUGUGUGUGUCUGUGU
Long non-coding RNA from Gasterosteus aculeatus aculeatus (three-spined stickleback), 477 nucleotides. Lineage: Eukaryota; Metazoa; Chordata; Actinopteri; Perciformes; Gasterosteidae. The record is from Ensembl.